CCUACGGGAGGCUGCAGUAAGGAAUAUUGGACAAUGGCCGCAAGGCUGAUCCAGCCAUGCCGCGUGCAGGAAGAAGGCCCUAUGGGUCGUAAACUGCUUUUGAACGGGAGAAAACCCUUGCUCGUGAGCGAGGCUGAUAGUACCGUUAGAAUAAGCAUCGGCUAACUUCGUGCCAGCAGCCGCGGUAAGACGAAGGAUGCCGGAGUUAUCGGGAUUCAAUGGGUUUAAGGCGGACUUAGACGGAAGUGGAGAAAUCUGUGGGCUUAACCCACAAACUGCCAUUGAUACUGCAGGUCUAGAGUACAGUUGCCGUUGGCGGAAUAUGACAUGUAGUGGUGAAAUACUUAGAUAUGUCAUAGAACACCGAUUGCGAAGGCAGCUAACGAAGCUGUAACUGACGCUGAGGCUCGAAAGUGCGGGGAUCAAACAGGAUUAGAUACCCGAGUAGUC
This 450-nucleotide ribosomal RNA is filed under the name uncultured bacterium. RNAcentral describes it as "partial 16S ribosomal RNA". It matches the Rfam family "Bacterial small subunit ribosomal RNA", at positions 338 to 795 of the family's 1533-position model. The record is from RNAcentral.